UAUUACAAUAGUGGACGUUGUUCGAAGGGGGAGGAAUGCACCUACAUCCACCAAGGAGAGAUUCUUUUAAAAAAAGAACUUUGCAGACAUUUUAAAAAGGCAGUUGUCUUAAAGGAAAAUUUUGUCCUUACUCACACGACACAAAAACCAUGCCUUGCAUUUUUUUCCAUCACUACCAUCACUGUACCCGUAAAGAUGACUGUUUGUAUUCACACGAACCACUUACCGAGGAGACGAGGUCUUUGCUUUUGAAAGCAGUUAACGAACAAGAAACUCAGCAGCAUAGUUUUGAGGAUUUACAGAAGAAGCGACAACUUUUUGAACUUAACAAGAAAAGCACUAAGAAAAAGGAUAGAGUGGACCCCCGUGCUGGGGUGUGGAGCGAACUGCUGGAUAACA
Molecule: long non-coding RNA, 399 nt
Organism: Zophobas morio
Lineage: Eukaryota; Metazoa; Arthropoda; Insecta; Coleoptera; Tenebrionidae
Exons: 3
Source: RefSeq, a predicted model, not a curated record